GCUGGGGGUGGUGGUGCGCGCCUGUAGUCCCAGCUCCUCCGGAGGCUGAGGCAGGAGAAUCGCUUGAGCCCAGAAGUUCUGGGCUGUAGUGAGCUAUGCCGAUCAGGUGUCCGCACUAAGUUCGGCAUCAAUAUGGUGACCUCCCGGGAGGGGGGGACCACCAGGUUGCCUAAGGAGGGGUGAACCGGCCCAGGUCGGAAACGGAGCAGGUUAAAACAUUGCUUGUUGCUAGCUCUAAGUGCCUCCAAAUGGAUCCUUAAGGAGGUUCAAUCAUGUAGGAUACAAAAUAUUUUAU
Molecule: signal recognition particle RNA, 295 nt
Filed under: Mustela putorius furo (domestic ferret)
Lineage: Eukaryota; Metazoa; Chordata; Mammalia; Carnivora; Mustelidae
Description: Metazoan signal recognition particle RNA (ENSMPUG00000020283.1)
Rfam family: Metazoan signal recognition particle RNA
About the family: The signal recognition particle (SRP) is a universally conserved ribonucleoprotein.
Source: RNAcentral